Molecule: long non-coding RNA, 4099 nt
Organism: Seriola aureovittata
Lineage: Eukaryota; Metazoa; Chordata; Actinopteri; Carangiformes; Carangidae
Exons: 2
Source: RefSeq, a predicted model, not a curated record
GGGGAAGAUAAAAAUAUCAGACAUCAGUUUUAUUAUUCAGCCUUAAUUCAGCUGGACAGACUUACACAGUUAAUGUAAAAAUAUCAAGGUCAUCUUUCUCCUACAGAGUCUGAAGUGUGCCGCUGUUAUAAUUAUAGUCUUUGACAGUGUUCAACUUAUAAGUAAUUAUUAAUUGAUUAAUUGAAUUGAGAAUGUAUUACUCAACUCAAAGUUAUAAAAAAUCAAUUUACAGCGUAUAACUAUGUGGAAAUGGGGAAAAAAGCAAAUUAAAAGACUUUCCAUUGUAAAAUUUCAACUCUCUGCACACCCAGAGUUGUUUUCAUUUCUUUUGGCUGAUUAGACGUUUGUUCAGGUUGAAGUUGGGUUGGUGUUACUGUGGGAUUUAUCUGAAGGUUCAUGUACAAAUAAAGAUCAUAAACAUGUAGGUUGUCGCUCCCUAUGAAGGUGCAACAAAGCCAACAGGAGAGUGAAGGAAAUGUCAAACUGUCUGUUCACUCCCACACAAACCUGAGAAAAGAUCUAAUCAACUGAAAAAGAAACGUGUAAAGGAACGUGUAGGCGUACAAUUCCUGUGCAGGGCCUUGAUAUGAAGAUUUGAUCUACUCUUUGAUUUCAACUUUGAACUAUAAAUCCACGAUUUGAAUCUGAAAUUUACAGAAAUUGCAUAAGGUGGAUUUUCCAAAUGGGGUUCAGAUGGGGUUUAUUCUCCCAAGAGUCUUAUAUUUGAAAUAGCUUAUGAAUAAAUAUUCCUAACUUCUUUUGGCAGGAAUCAUGACCUCAGUAUUUCUUCAACCCUUUGCUUAAACUCUGAAUGUAUUUAAUCCAGAUUUCAUCCUCUUGUCUGUGUCAGCUUUACGCAAAUAGAGCUGUGUACACCGACAGCGCAGCGGCUCGCAUUUCACUCGUGGGUGACCGCCAGAGAAGCUACGUAUUACCUGGAUUUCCGCUGUUGGUGGCGACCAGGAAGAACAAAAAAAAAAAAAAAGAAGAAAAUCCACAUUUUACACAGAUAAUUGAUUUCUAUUUUUAUGUGUCUUGAUAGGGGGGCGUGGUCAGGUCACAAUGAACAUGAUGCUUCGGGGUGUUUCACUUUGGAGAGCAACAACAAGUCAGCCUCUCUCCCCGAGGUGAUGGCAAACCUUAUGAUAAGCACAUCAUAGGCAGAUCCACCCCAGUGGUAUCUGUGUGCACCAGGGAGCUGUAGCUCUAGGCAGCGAGGGAAGCAGUGGAGGCAUAACAAAGAGCCAGAGGAAGACAGCCGGAGAGCUUGGCAGAGAUGAGAGGAGCUGCAGCUCUCUCUUUCUCCUCUCCCUUUCCCUUUCUCUCCCCGUGGCUGCCUCUGUGGAGCGCAGGAAGAACAAAGCCAAACAAAGGAGGAAGACAGGAGAAAGAGGAGCAAGCGAUGUGACUCCACUCCAUACCUGGCUGACUCGAGCGGGGCCGGAUGCUCCCCAGAGACCCUUAGCCGCUCAGAUGACUGCAGGCAGAGGCUGCAGCACAGGCAGCUCAGCUUUGUUUCUCCAUACUGGUGCACAGCGGCGGCGGAGCUGUCACCUGGUGUAAGCGCUGCACUCGGGGGGAUAAGGCAAGGUGCCCACUCAUGACAGAAUCGAAAUUACUCCUCACUCAAAGGCAAAUCUAGACAUCAAUCUCUCUCUGAAAGAGAAAAUAGCUCGAGUUUCCUCAUUAGAAGUGCAGCCUUCUGAGCAGGCAGGAGCCCUAUUUCUCAUCUCGGCUCAACAUCUGCAUGCAGACACAUGAAUAAAUAAUGGCCUGAGCUUUCAAGGCCACACUGGGCUCUCGUUACUUUGCCAGGGCAUGACUACUCCAGCCUCAAAGAGAGGUGUCGGGAGAGCAAUAAAACAUCAGUGCGAGCUGCCAGCUUUAUCUAAAGCAAAGGAGAAGAUGACUCUCUUUGUGAUUAGAUAGCUUGUGCACCAUACCGCACAGCAGAUAGAGAAGUGUGAGCUUCUUCCACCACCGGAUCUGAUGGGAAUCUGUGGCCAAACAAGGGGGAAGGAGACGCUGCAACCUUGUGCUGGUUUCUUUCUCCUCUGCAUCCACCAGUCACUGGUACACAGGGGAUGGCUAAAUUUAGCCAUCCACCAUGAGAACCAGUUCAGAGGCAAAGCUGGGAUGACAGAGUACACUUCCACGCUGGUGAAUUCACACCCAACUGUUCUGGAUUUACAUUUCUUUCUUAAUUCUCUUCAGUCACUCUCUUUGUCUGGGUCAAUUUUUUGCUGUAAAUGGGGUAGAGAGUGAAAAGUAGGGCUCAUCUGUUAUCCAGACCAGCGCCGUGCUGGGCCUCAGCCAUGACACUGUUAAAAUAUAAUGGAUGUUCAGGUUUCAAGGUGAGGUGAUCAUUUACACCUGCUGAAAGGUUUUUUUCUUUCAAUAUAAAGAAGCUGCAGAAAAUAUUCAGACCCUUUCACUUUUUAAAUACUUUAUUGUGUUGUAGAUUUAUCUUUAAAAACUGCUACUUUACACAUAAUAACCCCAUGAUGACACCACACGUCAGGAGAAAGAUUUAAACACAAAGUCCAAGGAUCUCUCUGCAGACCUGUGUGAUGAAACUGUGGUGAGGCGUAGCUCAGGGUCAGGGGUAUAAAACCAUUUCCAAAGCUUUGAAUGUUCCCAGGAGCGCAGCGGCCUCAGUAAUUGUGAAAUGAAAGCUUGGAGUCUUUCUCGAGUCUGCCAUCCGGCAAGAAGAGCCUUGGUCAGGGAGGUGACCAAGAACCUGACGGUUACAGAGAUGGAGAACCUGCCUGAAGGACUCUGUCAAUCAGGCCUUUAUAGAUGGAAGCCACACUGAGUUUGCCAAUGGACGUUUAAACGAUGCUCAUGAGGAAAAAGAUUCUCUAAUCUGAUGAGACAAAAACGUUACCAUUUGAACAGAUCUCUGGCUAAUACCAUCCACAGGGUGAAGCGUGGCGGUGGCAGCGCCUUGAUAGAGGAGUCCUUGAAGAAGACCACACGACCUGAGACUGGGGCGUCAGUUCACCUUUCAGCGCGGCACUGACCUGAAGCAAACGGCCAAGACACGGGAGUCUCUGACUGUACUUGAGAGGAUCUUCAAUGAAGAAUGAAAUAAACUGCCCAAAUUCAGGUGCGCAAAGCUUGUAGAGAAUUACUCACUGAAUGUUCUAGUUCAUUACAGCUUGGGUUUUAUUUUCAUCAACUGUAGAUAAAAAACCAACCAACCAACACAGCACAAAAAACAAAACUACAAAAAUAAGCCACAAGUUGUAAUAAACAAAAAUUGAUCUUUUAAAGAGGAGCAGUCUGACAGUUUGGAAAACACACUUUCUGUUUCUCAGAUGAGAAGAGAAGAAACUUAUCUCUGUGCAUCUAGUACAGAGAGUGCUAUGAGAUGUGUUUAGACUUGCUUGUUAUGCAGAAAUAUGGAACUGCUCCUUUAAAAGAAAACCCAACAAUGCAUGACCCGAGUCCAGCUGUAUUACUUAACACACAGACACGAGACUCCAUUUUUCUUAUCUCGCUCUCUGAAAGAAAGCAAAUCAACUUAUUUUUCAAAAAACGUUAAGUAAGGAUAUCUUUGCAUUGUGUUGUAGCCCUGCAUCAGGUGGAGACCCGGAGCAGAGGGGAGUCAGUGUGUGCUCACCUGUUAAGUCUCUUGACCCGCUCCGAAGCCUUUACACUCAACUUCAUUUCCACAAAGGCAAUUUUUCUACUCGCAGCUGUUUAACCCAAAGGCCCCGGCGCUGUCAGCACUCAGAUAUUUUCUCUGGCAGUUUGCUUUAAGCAAUUUCUUUAAGUGAUUGCUGCCUGACACCUCCGCUCCAGGUCUGAGCACUACUUGUCCCCUAUCUAAUCCAAACCAAAAUGAGAUCUUAUCAGUUUUAAUGUGUGAUUCAGAAUUCUGCACAUUUGUGUUUCAUGCUAUCUCUGUAAUUAACCCUGUUACGUCUCACAUGCUUGCAAAUGGGAUUAUAAAGCCACAUUACACAUGCAAGUCCUGAGUUAGAUCUUAAUGAAGAGGAUGAUGAGAGGUUCAGUAGUAGCUGUUCUAUCAUGGGGGUUCAAGUAAUAAUCUGCAACAUUUUCAGAUUAAUUACGAUAAAUUAAUAUAAAUGAA